UCCAGAUGCAGGUCAGCCACUGACUAACGCACAUUGCGCUGCUCCUAAAAUGCCACUGUGCGUGUGACAGCGGCUAACCAGCAUCUAGGAAUAACUUGG
This is a non-coding RNA of Xenopus tropicalis (tropical clawed frog), 99 nucleotides long. The record is from Rfam. NCBI's taxonomy places the organism in Eukaryota, Metazoa, Chordata, Amphibia, Anura, Pipidae.